UACGGAGGAUGCGAGCGUUAUCCGGAUUUAUUGGGUUUAAAGGGUGCGUAGGCGGGCUGUUAAGUCAGCGGUAAAAGCCCGGGGCUCAACCGUGGAAUUGCAGUUGAAACUGGAGGCCUUGAGUGCACACAGGGGUGCCGGAAUUCAUGGUGUAGCGGUGAAAUGCUUAGAUAUCAUGAAGAACUCCGAUCGCGAAGGCAAGUGUCCGGGGUGCAACUGACGCUGAGGCUCGAAAGUGCGGGUAUCAAACAGG
RNAcentral lists this ribosomal RNA (253 nucleotides) under uncultured Prevotella sp. RNAcentral describes it as "partial 16S ribosomal RNA". It matches the Rfam family "Bacterial small subunit ribosomal RNA", at positions 524 to 776 of the family's 1533-position model. The record is from RNAcentral. Lineage: Bacteria; Pseudomonadati; Bacteroidota; Bacteroidia; Bacteroidales; Prevotellaceae.